CUAUGCGCCUUGCCAGCCCGCUCAGUCAGAGUUUGAUCCUGGCUCAGGAUGAACGCUGGCGGCGUGCUUAACACAUGCAAGUCGAACGAUGAAGCUGGAGCUUGCUCUGGUGGAUUAGUGGCGAACGGGUGAGUAACACGUGAGCAACCUGCCCCUGACUCUGGGAUAACAGCCGGAAACGGCUGCUAAUACCGGAUAUGCACCAUGAACGCAUGUUCUGUGGUGGGAAAGAUUUUUCGGUUGGGGAUGGGCUCGCGGCCUAUCAGCUUGUUGGUGAGGUAAUGCUCACCAAGGCGUCGACGGGUAGCCGGCCUGAGAGGGUGACCGGCCACAUUGGGACUGAGACACGGCCCAG
RNAcentral lists this ribosomal RNA (355 nucleotides) under uncultured bacterium. RNAcentral describes it as "bacterial SSU rRNA". It matches the Rfam family "Bacterial small subunit ribosomal RNA", at positions 1 to 334 of the family's 1533-position model. The record is from RNAcentral.